Molecule: long non-coding RNA, 946 nt
Filed under: Junco hyemalis (dark-eyed junco)
Lineage: Eukaryota; Metazoa; Chordata; Aves; Passeriformes; Passerellidae
Description: lncRNA (ENSJHYG00000000903.1)
Source: RNAcentral
AUGUCCCCAUGGUCAUCCAGGCCAUGGUCACUCCAUAGGGGUGUCCCCUCAGUGUCCUCAGCCGUGGUCACCCCCCAGGUGAUGUCCCAAUGGUGGCCUCGAUGUCCCCUCAGUGAUCCCAGUGAUGACCACAAUGUCCCCUCAGUGGUCCCAAUGGUGGCCAUGGUGUCCCCCAGGUGUCCCAGCCAUGGUGGCCUCAAUGUCCCCUCAAUGGUGGCCUCGAUGUCCCCUCAAUGUCCCGAUGUCCCCUCAAUGUCCUCUCAGUGGUGGCCUCGAUGUCCCCUCAAUGUCCCCUCUUUGGUGGCCUCAAUGUCCCCUUUGUGGUCCCAGUGGUGGCCUCAGUGUCCCCAGGUGAUCCCAGCCAGGGCCACCCCCCAGGUGUCCCCCAGUCCCCUCCCGGUGUCCCCAGUUUGUCCCUGUCCCUCUUUGCACUUUAUGCUCAGAUGUCCCCUGGCUCUGUCCCCGUGUGCCCAGGGUGGCAGUGAGGGGACAAUGAGGGGACAGCAGGGCCACCCCUGUGCCCUUUGUCCCUUUGUCCUUGUCCCUUCUGGGCCCUCGGUGUCCCCACCCUGUCCAGGGGACACCCAGGGGUGCUGCCACCCGACUGGGGACACCCCAAAGUGGUGGCACCUGAGAAUUUGGGGACACCCCGACUUGGGGACACCCAGAAUUGUCCCCUCGGGCACGGGGGGUGGAGGGACCCGGUCCCGUAUGAAGCCCCUGGGGACACCUUGGGGACAGUCCUGGGACCACCUUGGGGACAUUCCCAGGGACACCUCAGGGACAUUCUGGGGACAUUCCCGGUGCUCCAGAGCCUCUGGACUUGGUGACAUUGGUGUCCCCAGGGUGGUGACAGAGCCUGCAGGGUCCUUGCCCUGUCCCCACCCCUGGGGACGCCUUGGGGACACUCCCAGGGACACUCCCAAGGCCACCUUGGGGACACCUC